AACGAACGCUGGCGGCGCGCUUAACACAUGCAAGUCGAGCGCAGCGGCGGACGGGUGAGUAACACGUGAGUAACCUGCCUUAGACAUUGGGAUAGCCUCGGGAAACCGGGAUUAAUACCAAAUGGUCUAAGAUGGACUAGCGUCCCAUUAGUUAGUUGGUGCGGUAACGGCCCACCAAGGCGACGAUGGGUAGCCGGGCGGGGAGGGUGAACGGCCACAUUGGAACUGAGAAACGGUCCAAACUCUACGGUAGGCAGAAGUGGGGAAUAUUGAACAAUGGAGGGAACUCUGAUGCAGCGACGCCGCGUGAACGAAGAAGGCUUUCGAGUCGUAAAGUGCUUUUAUAUGGGAAGCGGUACCAUAAGAAAAAGCCCCGGCUAACUACGUGCCAGCCGCCGCGGUAAUUC
This 407-nucleotide ribosomal RNA is filed under the name uncultured bacterium. RNAcentral's name for it is "partial 16S ribosomal RNA". It matches the Rfam family "Bacterial small subunit ribosomal RNA", at positions 29 to 526 of the family's 1533-position model. The record is from RNAcentral.